CCCUCGCAUCGGAGUCCUUGACUAGUCUAACAAAGGCUGAAUGGUACUCUACACUUGACUUGGCAAGUGGCUAUUGGCAAGUUGAAGUAGACCUUCAAGAUAAAGAGAAGACUGCAUUUACCACUCCAUUUGGUUUAUACAAAUUGAGAUAAUGUCCUUUUCCAGAGAUUAAUGCAGCACUGUCUUGGAGGCCAGGUGUACGACUCACUAUUGAUUUAUCUUGAUAAUGUAAUUAUUUAUUCUGCUGACUUUGCAUCUCACUUGAAAGAUUUUGAGGCUGUCUUUGAGAGGUCAGGCCACUAUGGAUUGAAGCUGCAUCCAGCAAAGUGCAAAUUCUUCCAGCUUGAAGUACAGUACCUGGGACAUGUUGUGAGCUGCCAAGGAGUUGUGCCUGACCCAGGUAAAGUUGCUGUGGUGAAAGACUAGGACUGUUAAACAGAUGUGUUCAUUCCUUGGAUUUGCAGGGUAUUCCUUGGAUUUUGCCAGUAUUGCUUCCCCCAUUCAGAAUCUAUUGACUGGCAUAUCAAAUACCAAGAACAAGGCCAGACAGUAGCAUGGACUGAACUGUGUGAAGCUGCUUUCAUCUAGUUGAAGGCUGCUUUACUUCAGGCCCCAGUAUUGACUUUUGCUGACUUCUCACUGUCUUUUAUUGUGUACACAGGUGCCAGCAAGGAGGGACUUGGUCUUAGCUUAGCAUCAAUGAUGGAAAAGAGAGGAUAAUGGCCUAACUACAGCUCUUUAAAUGAAAGCUCCUUGCUUUAAAGUGGGCAGAUAAAUUUAAAGAUUACCUGACCGGGGCAAAGUUCACAGUUUAUACCGACAAUAAUCCUCUAGCCCACUUAGAAACUGCCAACUUAGGGGCUGUGGAGCAGAGAUGGGCAGCACAACUGUCCAACUUUCAGUUUGACAUCUUGUACAGGUAAAAAUAAUGUGAAUGCUGACGUGCUUUCCAGGUUGCCAGAAAACUUUCCAGGGAGAGAGGGUCCGGAAGUGGCAGACAGAGAUGCAGUAGAAGUUCCUUCCUUCCAGACCGUGAAUCCAGAGGUGGUCCAAGCUUGCUGCAGUGGAGUAACAGGUCUACAUGUACAGGCUGAGGAUGGUAGUGUCUGUCAGAGUGGGGGUGGGCACCAGAGAGAUGGAUCUAGGCACAAUGGAAGGACCCAUUGAUCCAGCAGUUCAAGGAUGGGGGAUCUUUCCCCACUCCUGCAGCGCGUGAACAGGAUGCCCCCAGGAUGCUGUAGGCUCUGCAACAAUGGGAAUGGCUAGAGUAACAGGACGGGGUACUUUGUCGGCGGAGCAUGGACCCAAGUACACUAGAGACAUGCAUGGCUACCAAUGGAUUUGGCCCUGGGGAUUGCAAAGCCCGAGGUACCCCGACAUACAGAUGAAUGGGUGCAUCACCAUUACCAGAAGAUGGCUUUUGCCUAUGAAAAAGCAGGGAAGCAGAUGGCCCAGAGCACAGAGAGACAUCGCAAGAACUAUGACAAGGUGACGAAGCAAGCUCUAUUGCUACCUGGUGAAAGGGUGUUGGUCAAGAAUCAGAGGCUGUGGGGCAAAGAACUUGAUCACCAAUUGACCAUGGAAACUAUUGCCCUAAUUACCUGCACCUGAAGCGGCUUGGGUGUGAGACUGUUUAAAAGCAUGCUUGAAAAAGCAGAAGGAGAGCAACAACUGAGACAGAACCGAGCAGCGGUGGCAGCAGCAACCGCAACAGCGAAAGCAAUGAAAGUGAAAGAGGUUUUACCGUGGGGCGAUCGACACCGGUUUUAACCAACAAGAUUCCUAACUGGACAGGAGGGUACACAGGACAGCGGAGCAGCUGCGGCACCACAGACAGAGGAGCGGAUGGACUGAUAGAUGAGGCAUUGGGGACCCGUGUGCUGCAGCAGGGCUAUAUGAAGCUGUCAGAGGGAGUCGUAUUUACUACUCCAUCGCAAAAGUUGCCUUUUUAAUUAUUUUAAUAGGUUGUAGUUAGUUGUCUUAUUGUCUAUUUUAGGGUUUAGUGUUAGUUAUUUUAUUUUCUUAUUCAUUUUAUGGUGGCUGUCUUUUAAUUUGUCUACUGGCAUCUGGAAUAAAAUAAUGUAUGCACCCUAAUCUAAUUACAGCAAUACACCGUCAUAUAUCAAACACACUUCAUCAA
Molecule: long non-coding RNA, 2140 nt
Organism: Acipenser ruthenus (sterlet)
Lineage: Eukaryota; Metazoa; Chordata; Actinopteri; Acipenseriformes; Acipenseridae
Exons: 3
Source: RefSeq, a predicted model, not a curated record